This 446-nucleotide ribosomal RNA is filed under the name uncultured bacterium. RNAcentral describes it as "partial 16S ribosomal RNA". It matches the Rfam family "Bacterial small subunit ribosomal RNA", at positions 338 to 795 of the family's 1533-position model. The record is from RNAcentral.
CCUACGGGUGGCUGCAGUCGAGAAUUAUUCACAAUGGUGGAAACACUGAUGGUGCGACGCCGCGUGGGGGAAUGAAGUACUUCGGAUUGUAAACCCCUGUCAUGUGGGAGCAAAUUAUACAGAUCGUACCACAAGAGGCAGAGACGGCUAACUCUGUGCCAGCAGCCGCGGUCAUACAGAGGUCUCAAGCGUUGUUCGGAAUCACUGGGCGUAAGGCGUGCGUAGGCUGGUUCGUAAGGCGAGUGUGAAAGGCGUGGGCUCAACCCGCGGACGGCACAUGAUACUGCGAGACUAGAGUAAUGGAGGGGGAAGCGGAAUGCUCGGUGUAGCAGUGAAAUGCGUAGAUAUCGAGAAGAACACUCGUGGCGAAGGCGGGUUCCUGGACAUUAACUGACGCUGAGGCACGAAGGCCAGGGGAGCGAAAGGGAUUAGAUACCCGUGUAGUC